Molecule: long non-coding RNA, 272 nt
Filed under: Homo sapiens (human)
Lineage: Eukaryota; Metazoa; Chordata; Mammalia; Primates; Hominidae
Description: non-protein coding lnc-KCNH5-8:1
Source: RNAcentral
UGGGUGGUGCCAGCUGACCCAUCAAGUUCAGGGUCGGCCAAAUAUCUCAAACACUGAUUUUCGGUGAAGUUUAGGGAGAGUCAGAAUCUUGUAGCCUCCAGCUACAUGACUCCUAAACCAUAAUUUUGAAUGUUUGGCUAAUUUGUUAGUACUACAAAGGCAGUCUAGUCCCACAAAGACAGUCUAGUCCCCAGGCAAGGAGGUUUGUUUUGGGAAAGGGCUGUUAUUGUCUUUGUUUUAAAGUAUAAACUAAGUUCCUCUUAAAGUUAGUU